GAACUAUCAAUCUCUCCGCAAGGAUCCAAACAGUCUGUCCAAUCUUGAUCAGGACCUCCCGAAUUAUGCUCAGCACACCGUGCCUAUCUUCUCAUUACCCCAAGAAUGGUCGUGGUGUGAGUCGUGGUGUGGUACAGCCACUAAAUCCAAGGCAAAGACCAUUGAUCUUUGCAACAAUCCUAUGACGAAGGAACCAAAGCUUCAGGGUGCGAAGAGAAUAGUUUCUGAAUGGCCUGAUCUUGACUUAGAGGCAAGAACGUUUACUGCGAAAAUUCUCAGAGAUGAAUCUGAGCUUCAAGAAGCAAUGGCUUCAGAUAAGUCGCAGGGUUCACAGGGUGAUGAGUCAUCGGUAGAGGAACUUGACCUUGAAUCCAAGUCAGAGCUGUAAGGCAUGGUUUCAUUCAGCCAUGACAUGAUUUAUCCCAACUGUAAUCCUGAUCGAGGAUGGAAGGGUAACUAUCAGCAAAGAACGUUUUGGAAUUGCAUCAACUAAGGAAAAACAAGUGGUUAUGGUGUGCGUAUGCUGUCGAGAUUGGGGAUGGAGAUGCACACCAUCAAGAAAAUGAGGUCAUGGGGAGGCUGUGAGAAAGGCAAGGUAGCGCCGGUAGAGAUUUAAAAUUUUCUCAAGAAUUUUAGAGAGAAGCGAGCUAUUCAUUUUGCUUAGUUUUUGUUAAUCGACCGGGUAAUCUUAUUUUAACUGGGCUAUUUGCAAAUGCGUGAAAUAACACGCUUGAUUGUGGAAUUUCUUCCUCGCUGAUAAAACCACAGGUGAAAAGCCAA
Molecule: long non-coding RNA, 780 nt
Organism: Eucalyptus grandis
Lineage: Eukaryota; Viridiplantae; Streptophyta; Magnoliopsida; Myrtales; Myrtaceae
Exons: 3
Source: RefSeq, a predicted model, not a curated record